This is a long non-coding RNA of Patella vulgata (common limpet), 1052 nucleotides long. RefSeq lists it as uncharacterized. The record is from RefSeq and is a predicted model, not a curated record. Lineage: Eukaryota; Metazoa; Mollusca; Gastropoda; Patellidae. The transcript is spliced from 3 exons.
CGCAAAUAGACGGGGAUUUCCCUGUUGGAGAUUUUAUUAAAUAUUGCCUUCGCGCUUGUCUGGCCCUUUCUGUUGAUCCGAGUAGAAGAAAGUUGUGUGUAUUAAAUCUGUUACUACUAUAACAACAUCAUGAUGUCUGAUAUGUCACUUCAACAGAUUGUCAAUCACCAGAGUCUUAAUUUCCACCUCCCUUGUAAUGUACAAAUAGGUGAACACAACAUACAAAAUAAUCUGACUAACCAACUCAAAGAAGAUGUUGAAAAAAUGAAGAAUGAGAUACAACAACUCAAGUUGGACAAUCAGAACCGUGCUGACGAGAUACAACAACUCAAGUUGGAUAAUCUACAAUUUCAAUCCGAUAAACAGAAUCAAGCUGACAAAAUACAACUCCUUGAAUCAAGAGUUAAAGUUGUGGGAGAUAAAACAAGAGUCAAGAAAGUAGAUAAAACUAUAAAUAAAGUAAAGGAUGAUAUGAUAACUCUUACUGUAAAACGGAUUAGGUAUGGUGAUAUAAGUGAUACAAGUGUUAGUAGAGAUAAAACUGUAAGUGAACUAGAAUCUGAAAUAAAGGAGGAGUAUAGAAGGAAGUAUGGUAGAGAUCGUGGUGUUUGUUGUAUUUAUCGUAUCUACUGUGUAAAACAGGGGAAGAUCAUCUACCACCGUAACAACAACAAAGAUCUAUCAUUAUCACAUUACGGUGUAGGUGAUGGUGAUAAAGUCUACUGCGGGCUAGAGUCAUGUUUGAUAGAGAGAUAGAGAGAAAUGGGGUUUAACGUCCACUCGACACAAACUAGGUCAUUUCGGGACUAACAUAUGGUUUAAUUUUAUUUACAUAAUUCGCUUGCGCGUAGGGGUCUUUACCAGUGGGAGUCAUGUUUGAUAAACUUGACUGGGGGUACCAGUUUGAUUAUAUUGGGUUAUUUAAUAAUCAUAUACAUACUUAAACUAUAAAACAAUACUUAUCAUAUUAUGUAGAAUAUAAGUAUUGUGGUGGUAUAAAUAGUAUAUAUAUAUAUAUAUAAGUAUUGUGGUGGUAUAAAUAGUAUAUAUAU